AACGAACGCUGGCGGCGUGGAUAAGACAUGCAAGUCGAACGAUCAUUAGCGGGUAGCAAUAUCUGCUAGUGGGAGUGGCGCAAGGGUGCGUAACACGUGGGCAAUCUGCCGUGAAGUUUGGGAUAACUUGCUGAAAGGCGAGCUAAUACCGGAUGUGACAACCUGGGGGCAUCUCUGGGUUGUUAAAGUUGGGGACCGCAAGGCCUGACGCUUCAUGAUGAACCCGCGGCCUAUCAGGCUAGUUGGUGAGGUAACGGCUCACCAAGGCCACGACGGGUAGCUGGUCUGAGAGGAUGAUCAGCCACACUGGAACUGACACACGGUCCAGACUCCUACGGGAGCUG
RNAcentral lists this ribosomal RNA (344 nucleotides) under uncultured Verrucomicrobiota bacterium. RNAcentral describes it as "bacterial SSU rRNA". It matches the Rfam family "Bacterial small subunit ribosomal RNA", at positions 29 to 351 of the family's 1533-position model. The record is from RNAcentral. Lineage: Bacteria; Pseudomonadati; Verrucomicrobiota.